Molecule: long non-coding RNA, 1217 nt
Filed under: Oryctolagus cuniculus (rabbit)
Lineage: Eukaryota; Metazoa; Chordata; Mammalia; Lagomorpha; Leporidae
Description: lncRNA (ENSOCUG00000035828.1)
Source: RNAcentral
AUGUUUAAAAAGGGGAGAAAGUAUACUCAUAGGAUAGAGCUCUGGGUGAAACCGAGCAGGAGACCCAGCAUGAGCAAUAGAAAUGGACCAGACCUAUGCCAAGUGAGCAAACAAACAGAAAACAAUGGAAGCUUGGAUCCGGAGACAAAGAUGCUGUGCCAGCAAACCAGAGGAAAUGUGCUACAACUUAGGAGCAAAAUACUGCUGGAAAUGUUUAAACUAUUUUAUUCAGCAAGUGCAGUCUACCGAAAUCUGGGCGCGAGUUUCAUGCACUCCAAAGUUGCAGAAGGAUUAGACUGGGAGAAAGCAUUCAUGUGAUGCAAGAACUCGAUGAGCUGUCUGGCAUACACCCCUCAAUAUAGCCAUAUUGCUCUUUUCUUGGUCCAUACAUAGAAAUCUUCUCUUAAAUAACAACAACUGAGCUUCAUUGCAGAUUUAUGCAUAUUUAUGUUACCAAAACUAUACAAACAAUAGUUUUUAUGCUAGUAAUACAAUUGAUGUAACCUCAUAAGUAAUUUUAGUAUUAAGGUUGAAAAGUCACUAAAAGUAGAGACUACUUACAGUAUUUUCUCUGGGAUAUGGUGUGUGUCAAUGUCAUUUGUAAUCUGAGAUCUCUGUGAAGAUGCUGGGUUAUAAUACUUGUAAAUGCCAAAGUUUUCUGAUUUUCAAAGCAAUUGUAUAUGAUACAUAUAUAAUUAAUCUAUUUCCUAAAACACAAAUACGUAUCUGGAAGACACAUAUCAAGUUGUGCACAUACAAAUCAGUAUGCUAAGUUAAAUCAUAGUAAGGCUAUUGAAGGUUAAAUUACUGCUUGAGAAAACUACUUGCUAAAGAAAAAAAUUGGAAAAAGCUACCAUGGAUAAGUGAGGGACUCACAGAGCCAUAUGUUUUAGAGGCUCACCAGAAAAGGAAUGAAGUCUUUGAGUCAUCUAGAAGACUAUGGGAAGAACAAGAAUUUACCACACACUUGCUUUGUUCAAAAACACAAAACUUGGCCCUUUUUUUGAAAACUAGUCACUCUGAUAAAGUUUAAUGUUCAUAAAUUUUAGUCCCUUAGAAGCAGGAUUUGUGUACCUUCUGGUAAUCUCAUUUGUACUUACAUCUGUAUUUAUUUUAAGUGUAUUUGCAUAGUUAUGAUUUGAGGCUUUGUGACAAUUUUCAUUACACCUCUUAACUCAGAGAAAUAAAAUUAGUGACUGCUUUUCCCCUGAAGGACA